GUCCAAGAUGCAAGUCUGACAACAAGAUGGCACAAAUAGGUGAAGAUGAAGUAGCCUGGAGAAGAGGAGACUCCAAGGAGAUCUGUUGGCGACAUACAGGGGGCAGCUUCUGAACCCCCUGUUUCUCCUUAGGUCCUUGACAGUUCCAAGAUCUUCUGUUGCCUAUAACAAGCUGAGUCCAGUAAUGUUCCCAGACCCAAUGAAGAAGAGGGGACUAUCUCAUGAGCAUACAGCUGAGGUCAUUCAGCCCACCUCGCUAAGCCUUACUCUGGACUGAAAGGGCCAUCUGGAGACCAAGACCCACAGGAGGUUGAGGGACUAUGUGCCAUUUCAGUUUGGCCACAUGGAGAAAACUCACAGCACAAGUGGAGAAAAAAGACACUCCACACUCAGCCUGCUGCUUGGACUUCUGCUGGAUCAGUGGACUCCUCCUCCUUUCUAUGCAGUGAAUACCUUCUGACUGCAGCUCGUGCCCUUGAAGAAUUCCAGGGACUGCCCAGGAGGGCCCUGGAUGAUCCUCUCCUGGAAGGCAGUCGGCUGGAGCCUCAGCCUCUGCAUCUGACCUUGGCUGGAGCCUGGAGUGCUGGCUCUUUUCAUCUGAAGAAUCCUUCUCCAGGUAGGACAUGACAGGGGCUGAUACCCAAUGAGGUAAUGAUGUCCUUCCGGAGAAGUAGACAUGGUGGAAGCCUGGAAAAUCCAUGCAGCACAGGUUUGUGCAGUGGUGGCCAGUGGCUUAUUGUGUGUGCGUGUGUUUACAUGUAUUUAUAGGCCACCUCUAAUUGCCAAGGCCUUCCUAGGCAGCUUACUAUGCAUAAAAUAUAUUAACAGAGUAAAACACAUUAAAACCAGUUAAAACAUAACAUUUAAACAUCUGUAAAAGCAAUUUAAAAGGGCCACAGCAUGCAGGCACAAUGUUAAAAACUUUCCUAUAAAGAUAUGUCUUUGCCUGGCACUGAAAGGAAAAUAAAGAUGGCGCCAGGCGAAUUUCCCUAGAAAGGGAGUUCCAAAGAAGGGGAGCUCAUGUGUUCUCAAUGCCCCUUUUAUUCUAUGUAGGGCUUUGCUUUUAAUUGGCAACAGUCUCCACAGCAAACAGUGGGGCUUCUUUUGUAACCUUCCCUAGACCAAAAAGAUAAAGAACUUCUGUGAAUAACACAGACAGAAUGGCAAGCAAGAGCUCUUCUAUAGGAGAUGGUUUUCUGACUUAGGACUUCACAAAAAGUAUCAGACUAAAAAUUAACCAAACCCCAUCCUGCUCAUGUCAUAUGCUCUGAACUCUGAUGUUGACAGAUGGCCAUCUCCAGUUCGGGACAACAAUCACAGGCAUGCCAAAAGGCAGGCAGGUGGUAUGAAGCUAAGGCACCGAUACGCAUCCCAUUCAGGCAUGAGUGGAGCUUUCUAUUCUGGUGGCUUGGGAGAAGAUGCAUGAGUAAGAUCAUCACUUUGGAGCAGGGGUAGAGUGAGGGGAAUUUUCAAGGGUUGCUGGGGCAUAGAAGACACUGAUCACACCAUAAAACUUAAGGAUCCCUUUUGACUCUGAGUAACCCUGUGAUACAUCAGCAUUGCUGAUGAUUCUCAAGGAGUGUUUCAGGAUAGCUUUCGUGCCUGCACACCUUGAAGAGCAAAGAUUAACUACAGAUGCUUGAUUGGAUGCUUGGUUUCACCCCUCCAGCAUGAAUGGUAGCCAUGGUAGGGCCAGAGAGCCCACCCCAGCGUUUCAUGAAUGAGGAGCUAUUCAUCAGGAUAGCUUUUCAUAGGUUCCCCACCUAUCAGGGAUAGCUUUUCAUAGGUACCCCACCUAUCAGGGAUAGCUUUUCAUAGGUACCCCACCUAUCCCUAUCCUGAUUCUGACAAACCUGAUUGUUUGUGCUGCAUACUUUUAAGAACAUCAAAUAAGGGUGUGAAUCUGAUGGGGAAGCAUCCUUUUCUUUCAACAAUAUACAUAUUAGUGCAUGUGAAAAAGAGAUGUUGAUCUUGCAAGAGUUCCUCUGCUACAAACGUCACACGACUAUUAUAUUGCUAAAUAAACAUGCUGUAAUCGCAAGUAGUUUCCAGAGGAAGUGAUGCAUUCUUGAAAAUCGUUGUUCUACGGUAGCUGCUAUAACUGCAAAUCAGCAGUAGCAAUUUUCCAAAGCAACUGUGUAGAGCAGAAAAGGGAAAGUCCAUAUUGCAAAAAGGUGGAAGUACCAUCCCAUGAAUAGAAUGACAUUAUGGGGAGAACAUUCAGUGGCUAAAGCUGGAAAAAGGAGUGGCAAGAAGGAGACAAGUCACAGUCAUAACUGAAGAACAAUUUCUUACAGAGUUUCCACCACCUGCAGAAAAGGAAGGCAGGUCUGGAAAUGUGAGGCUAAGAAAGAGACCUGCAGCACGGUGGAAAUUAGGAAUGCUUUGAAAGUCCCCCUCAUUCCAAUUUCCAAACUUGCAAUUCCAAGCUUCCCUAUCCUGAUUCUGACAAACAUCAGGAAUGCUUCACUGAGUCAUUAAAACGAUAAUAAAAAUGAUAAUAAAAAGAAUAAAAAUUUUCUGCAGUGCUCGGUAUAAAAGUGUUGGGGAAGAUCUUUGAAGGCCAGGUGAAUUCUUAAAAUUGUCAUGUGGAUCUAACUUUUUUAUAUGUGACUGCCAAUGGUUUUUCUCCCCCACACCCACCCCACGUUAAAAAAAGAAAUUCAUUCCCAUUGCUUCAAAAACAGUACCUUGUUUGUUCUCAAGCGCCUGCCUGUGUUCCUGGGUGAGAAUAAUUUAGCAUCUUUGCCAGAGGGAACAUUUUGUCCCAGGAAGUCCACCAGCCUGCUGAGAAAAGCUGAGCUACUACUGGAAGUGAGGGCACAGUGGGGUUGGUGGGGGGGGCUGUUUGUUAGAUUCUUUUCCAAGGAUGAAAGAACCCUCUUGGACAGCUUGGAUUUACUGGUAAGGGCCAUGCCCACUGAAUGCAGUGAGAAUUCCUCCCCAUCAAGCAAAGGUUAGUUCAUUCUGUGGUGCAGCAGACAGAGGGUUGGACUGGACCAGGAUGCUCACCAGGUGACUUUGGGCCAGUCAUACACAGCCUCUCAGCCUAACCUACCUCACAGGGCUGUUGUGAGAUGCCAUGGAGUGAAAAAGGA
This is a long non-coding RNA of Varanus komodoensis (Komodo dragon), 3098 nucleotides long. RefSeq lists it as uncharacterized. The record is from RefSeq and is a predicted model, not a curated record. Lineage: Eukaryota; Metazoa; Chordata; Lepidosauria; Squamata; Varanidae. The transcript is spliced from 3 exons.